Oncorhynchus mykiss (rainbow trout) is the source of this 2394-nucleotide non-coding RNA. Lineage: Eukaryota; Metazoa; Chordata; Actinopteri; Salmoniformes; Salmonidae. The record is from RefSeq and is a predicted model, not a curated record.
GCCGCCCACUGUGACUUGCCUGUGGGCGUGCUGGCAGCAUAGAGCAGCUUUUCGAUUGUGCGUCAAGAAUCUAGCAGAGCAAGUUCGUAUGAAGGUCUGGUUAUUGAAUGGUGUGAGGGUUGAAAAUAUGCUUGGCAUAUAAUGUGACUGGCCUUGGGUGUAGGCAGCUAUCAUGAAUUGUUGGGGGCACAUACAGAACGUAGGGUAGGGAACAAACGGUCUUUUGUUAGAUAACAGGAGCCAGGUGUGUGAUAACUGUAUCGAGUGCAUGAGCGCAUAGUUCAAUAGUAAUAUCCUCUAAAACGCUCUGGUGGCAAACAAACUUUGCUGCUCUGUUUCCAAUUGUCCACAUGAGGGAACCUGUUCAAAUACAGAGAGCUGUGAAAGCAGAUGCAGCUGAAGAGGAGUGGUACUCAGUCCUGGUCCUGGGGACUCAAAGGGGUGCAUAUUUGAGUUUUUGCCUUAGCACUACACAGCUGAUUCAGAUGAUCAACUCAUCAUCAAGUUUCAAGUGAUACCUUGUAACUGGAGAUUCCUUCAAAACGAUUGCCAACAGUUACCGUGUAGGGCACUGCAAGAUUGGGUGACCAGGGCCAUCUGGGACUGCCUCCUGGGGGAAUUCAGGUGUGUGAAGGCUACCUGUGUCCUGCAUAACUUCAUGAGGAUGGACACGAGGACCAGGAGCGGCUCUGCAGCUCGACACCGUGUGCCAGAGGAGAAGUCUGCUGCUCUGCAGGAUGUUUCAAGGAUAUGUUUUGAUGUGAGAGAGGAUGCCAACCCCCAGUCUCAUCAAAGCCACAUCAAAGCCACAUCACCCGCUCUUAAGAUAACCUUCGGGCCGACUAGAUACUAUGUAAUUGUGAUGAACUGAGAGAAUAUUAGCAUAGCACUGUGAUUCAUUAAUCAUAUGCUGUCUUCCCUGCUCCUGUUCUUACCUCUUUCCCUUUUUGUCUUUAACACCUCUCUCCACCUCUUUCUUCCUUUGUUUUUAUAAUACACACCAAAUGUGCAGUGAAGUGCAGAUUACAAUUACAAUAUUAUAAUGCAUGUAUUAUGUAUUUAUAGCACUUGUCUCUCAUUUGAUGAAAUACACCUGUCCUGUUUAUCAGAUCAAUGCAGAUGAAGGGCAUUAGAUAUUGAGAUGAACUGGUUUUAGACAUGACACAUAGGAUGUGUAGCGUACUGUUUUUUUUAUUUUUUUAUUCUAUUUUUGUAUAUAUGAAUUACAAAUCAGCCUUUAAUUAGUUAAAUCCUGGUUCUAGUCUGUUAGUUACAAUGUGUAACCAUUAAUGUCCCAGGACCAAGAUUGGUAAACACUGUUGAAGUGUAUAAUUGUAAUACAUACAUGCAGACACAGCAUCCUUCAGACUGGAAUUUGAUACUAUUGGAUAUGACUGAAAAAUUGUCUCAAAGACAUUCAUACCUGAACUCCACCUUUAUUUGCCAAGGUAGAGUACAUGAUCAGUGAAUAUAUUAAAUGUACAGGCUACAAUGUGGGGCUCUCAUGCAUGGUAAUAACUACAUGUAUAUACGACUUGCAUUCUUGGCACAACAUGAUAUUAUAUUCUACUCAAUCCAUAGGCUUCAUAAAUGUCAUUCAGGCUGUUUUGAAGUUGAUACAACUGGCUAUGAUAGCGGAGGUUCAUAGCUCGGUUCUGAACUAAUAUGUAUACCAAACGUUUGGGUCCAUACACAGAUCGUCUAGAUAGAUAGCUACACAUCCAUGGGCAUACAGGGAUUUUAAUCAUCCACUUCAUCUAUCUGCAUUGCAUGGCAGAUAUCAGCAAGGCAAGCUUACAAAAUUGUACAUUCAAUUUGCGCUAAAUGCUUUAUUUAGCUAGAUUCUUUACAUCCACAUAAAACAUAUAUUGACUGAUAUUGAUUUAUUUAGGCGGGGCUAAUUAAUAUUUUAGGGGGGCUUUAGUCCCAAGGCUAUAGGCCAAGCAACGUCCCUUGUGUCGAGGCACAGAUCUGGGGAAGGGUACCAAAACAUUUCUGCAGCGUUGAAAGUACCCAAUAACACACUGGCCAUUCUUAAAUGGAAGAAGUUUGGAACCACCAAGACUCUUCUAGAGCUGACCGCCCGCACAAACUGAGCAAUCGGGGGAGGUGACCAAGAACCCGAUGGUCACUCUGACAGAGCUCCAGAGUUCCUCUAUUGAGUGCCUUUUGGAGUUUGCCAAAAGGCACCUAAAGGACUUUCAGACCAUGAGAAAAUAUUCUCUGGUCUGAUGAAACCAAGUCGAACACUGAAUCUCAAGCGUCACAUCCUUUUGAAACCUGGCACAAUCCCUACGGUGAGGAAUGGUGAUGGCAGCCAGCAUCAUGCUGUGGGGAUGUGUUUCAGUGGCAGGGACUGGGAGACUAGGAAAUAUGAAAAAGAGAAAGGGAAAG